This 3010-nucleotide ribosomal RNA is filed under the name Salmonella enterica subsp. enterica serovar Infantis. RNAcentral's name for it is "23S ribosomal RNA". It matches the Rfam family "Bacterial large subunit ribosomal RNA". The record is from RNAcentral. Lineage: Bacteria; Pseudomonadati; Pseudomonadota; Gammaproteobacteria; Enterobacterales; Enterobacteriaceae.
GGGUUGUGAGGUUAAGCGACUAAGCGUACACGGUGGAUGCCCUGGCAGUCAGAGGCGAUGAAGGGCGUGCUAAUCUGCGAUAAGCGCCGGUAAGGUGAUAUGAACCGUUAUAACCGGCGAUACCCGAAUGGGGAAACCCAGUGUGACUCGUCACACUAUCAUUAACUGAAUCCAUAGGUUAAUGAGGCGAACCGGGGGAACUGAAACAUCUAAGUACCCCGAGGAAAAGAAAUCAACCGAGAUUCCCCCAGUAGCGGCGAGCGAACGGGGAGGAGCCCAGAGCCUGAAUCAGCAUGUGUGUUAGUGGAAGCGUCUGGAAAGGCGCGCGAUACAGGGUGACAGCCCCGUACACAAAAGCGCAUGUGCUGUGAGCUCGAUGAGUAGGGCGGGACACGUGGUAUCCUGUCUGAAUAUGGGGGGACCAUCCUCCAAGGCUAAAUACUCCUGACUGACCGAUAGUGAACCAGUACCGUGAGGGAAAGGCGAAAAGAACCCCGGCGAGGGGAGUGAAAAAGAACCUGAAACCGUGUACGUACAAGCAGUGGGAGCACAGGUUUACCUGUGUGACUGCGUACCUUUUGUAUAAUGGGUCAGCGACUUAUAUUCUGUAGCAAGGUUAACCGAAUAGGGGAGCCGGAGGGAAACCGAGUCUUAACCGGGCGUUAAGUUGCAGGGUAUAGACCCGAAACCCGGUGAUCUAGCCAUGGGCAGGUUGAAGGUUGGGUAACACUAACUGGAGGACCGAACCGACUAAUGUUGAAAAAUUAGCGGAUGACCUGUGGCUGGGGGUGAAAGGCCAAUCAAACCGGGAGAUAGCUGGUUCUCCCCGAAAGCUAUUUAGGUAGCGCCUCGUGAAUUCAUCUCCGGGGGUAGAGCACUGUUUCGGCUAGGGGGCCAUCCCGGCUUACCAACCCGAUGCAAACUGCGAAUACCGGAGAAUGUUAUCACGGGAGACACACGGCGGGUGCUAACGUCCGUCGUGAAGAGGGAAACAACCCAGACCGCCAGCUAAGGUCCCAAAGUCAUGGUUAAGUGGGAAACGAUGUGGGAAGGCCCAGACAGCCAGGAUGUUGGCUUAGAAGCAGCCAUCAUUUAAAGAAAGCGUAAUAGCUCACUGGUCGAGUCGGCCUGCGCGGAAGAUGUAACGGGGCUAAACCAUGCACCGAAGCUGCGGCAGCGAACGUAUCACUUAAAGCGAUUCAGCGGGUUACGAUUGACGGAGCGAAGCGACGUCAAAGCGUAUACAAAGUCGAGUCGGUUUAAGGAUACGUUCGUUGGGUAGGGGAGCGUUCUGUAAGCCUGCGAAGGUGGCCUGUGAGGGUUGCUGGAGGUAUCAGAAGUGCGAAUGCUGACAUAAGUAACGAUAAAGCGGGUGAAAAGCCCGCUCGCCGGAAGACCAAGGGUUCCUGUCCAACGUUAAUCGGGGCAGGGUGAGUCGACCCCUAAGGCGAGGCCGAAAGGCGUAGUCGAUGGGAAACGGGUUAAUAUUCCCGUACUUGGUGUUACUGCGAAGGGGGGACGGAGAAGGCUAUGUUGGCCGGGCGACGGUUGUCCCGGUUUAAGCGUGUAGGUGUGUGUUCCAGGUAAAUCCGGUUCACUUUAACACUGAGGCGUGAUGACGAGGCACUACGGUGCUGAAGCAACAAAUGCCCUGCUUCCAGGAAAAGCCUCUAAGCAUCAGGUAACAUCAAAUCGUACCCCAAACCGACACAGGUGGUCAGGUAGAGAAUACCAAGGCGCUUGAGAGAACUCGGGUGAAGGAACUAGGCAAAAUGGUGCCGUAACUUCGGGAGAAGGCACGCUGACACGUAGGUGAAGUGAUUUACUCAUGGAGCUGAAGUCAGUCGAAGAUACCAGCUGGCUGCAACUGUUUAUUAAAAACACAGCACUGUGCAAACACGAAAGUGGACGUAUACGGUGUGACGCCUGCCCGGUGCCGGAAGGUUAAUUGAUGGGGUCAGCGCAAGCGAAGCUCCUGAUCGAAGCCCCGGUAAACGGCGGCCGUAACUAUAACGGUCCUAAGGUAGCGAAAUUCCUUGUCGGGUAAGUUCCGACCUGCACGAAUGGCGUAAUGAUGGCCAGGCUGUCUCCACCCGAGACUCAGUGAAAUUGAACUCGCUGUGAAGAUGCAGUGUACCCGCGGCAAGACGGAAAGACCCCGUGAACCUUUACUAUAGCUUGACACUGAACAUUGAGCCUUGAUGUGUAGGAUAGGUGGGAGGCUUUGAAGUGUGGACGCCAGUCUGCAUGGAGCCGACCUUGAAAUACCACCCUUUAAUGUUUGAUGUUCUAACGUGGACCCGUAAUCCGGGUUGCGGACAGUGUCUGGUGGGUAGUUUGACUGGGGCGGUCUCCUCCUAAAGAGUAACGGAGGAGCACGAAGGUUGGCUAAUCCUGGUCGGACAUCAGGAGGUUAGUGCAAUGGCAUAAGCCAGCUUGACUGCGAGCGUGACGGCGCGAGCAGGUGCGAAAGCAGGUCAUAGUGAUCCGGUGGUUCUGAAUGGAAGGGCCAUCGCUCAACGGAUAAAAGGUACUCCGGGGAUAACAGGCUGAUACCGCCCAAGAGUUCAUAUCGACGGCGGUGUUUGGCACCUCGAUGUCGGCUCAUCACAUCCUGGGGCUGAAGUAGGUCCCAAGGGUAUGGCUGUUCGCCAUUUAAAGUGGUACGCGAGCUGGGUUUAGAACGUCGUGAGACAGUUCGGUCCCUAUCUGCCGUGGGCGCUGGAGAACUGAGGGGGGCUGCUCCUAGUACGAGAGGACCGGAGUGGACGCAUCACUGGUGUUCGGGUUGUCAUGCCAAUGGCACUGCCCGGUAGCUAAAUGCGGAAGAGAUAAGUGCUGAAAGCAUCUAAGCACGAAACUUGCCCCGAGAUGAGUUCUCCCUGAGACUUAGAGUCUCCUGAAGGAACGUUGAAGACGACGACGUUGAUAGGCCGGGUGUGUAAGCGCAGCGAUGCGUUGAGCUAACCGGUACUAAUGAACCGUGAGGCUUAACCUUACAACGCCGAAG